Oryza brachyantha (malo sina) is the source of this 751-nucleotide long non-coding RNA. RefSeq lists it as uncharacterized. NCBI's taxonomy places the organism in Eukaryota, Viridiplantae, Streptophyta, Magnoliopsida, Poales, Poaceae. The transcript has 3 exons. The record is from RefSeq and is a predicted model, not a curated record.
UUGCGUUGAAGGAUAAUCAGCUGCUGAACUGAACGUUGUAAAGGACUUUCAAAAGAGCAUCUGGUUGCCUCGAGACACAUGGCCUGAAUCUCGGCGGCUUUGGUCGCGUGUACUCACUACUCUCACGCAAGGCUCCAAAAGGGCAGUAGCACAAACACUGGGCAUCGGUUUUGCUACCGUUGCUAUGAAAUGGAAUCCGAGGUCCAGCCUUCAAGUCCUGCCCGUCUUCAGUACUAGUACUCCACUAGUAUACAGAAUUCAGCGGUUUCAAGUUUCAACUAGUCUUGACGCGUGGUACUGCUGCUGCUCCGGCACAAGACGUAGUACUGUCAAAUCUGCAGGUACAUUGUUAACGAGGAGGAGAUUUUGGAUUUACAAUUGGUCAUGAUGAUCAAUCCUGAAGACAGUAAGGAUUGCAAGAGUUGAAGAUUGAUCGAGCAAAGCUUUUGCGGUUCCCCAAAACAUGCUGUUCUUCUCGCCUUUAUACCUCGCCCAAAUGGAGCUCUAGUCCUAAUUGCGGUCGGCUAAUUGGGAGUAGCGGUAGCACUGAAAAAUCUCCUUUACCACCAAUGCAUAAUUUGCGAACAUGCUGCUUGUUGGCAGUCUGGCUGGCAGGUGUGGCUACUCAAAUGUGCCUGGUCUACUGAUAGUUGAAAUGAAGUGGCUGACUCAUCUUCAUCAUGUGCUGUGUUUUUAGCUCUGUGUUUGAUGGAAACCGAAAUAACUCGCAUGUCUCCUCUGCCCUUUGUCA